Molecule: ribosomal RNA, 253 nt
Filed under: uncultured bacterium
Lineage: Bacteria
Description: partial 16S ribosomal RNA
Rfam family: Bacterial small subunit ribosomal RNA
Source: RNAcentral
UACAGAGGUCUCAAGCGUUGUUCGGAUUCAUUGGGCGUAAAGGGUGCGUAGGUGGGCCUGUAAGUCAGUGGUGAAAUCUCCGGGCUUAACCCGGAAACUGCCAUUGAUACUAUAGGUCUUGAAUUUUCUGGAGGUCAGCGGAAUAUGUCAUGUAGCGGUGAAAUGCUUAGAUAUGACAUAGAACACCGAUUGCGAAGGCAGCUGACUACGGGAACAUUGACACUGAGGCACGAAAGCGUGGGGAUCAAACAGG